CCUCCAGACUGACUAGCUACUGAAUCACUAAUUGAUCUAAAUCAAUGUGAUGUGGUAAGGGAAAAUAAUGAUAUUACCUUAUUUAUAGUGUUGUCAAAAUCUGGUGCCAGAAGACUCGGUAAGACCAGGAACGCAAACGUUAAUCAUCAUCAACAGGCGUAAAGGGUUUGUAGGCUGCUUUUAAUUUUAAUUUUAUUUUUAUUUAUAGAUUGUUAUAAAUAACUUAUAAUUUUAUUUUGAGAGCUAGAAUCAAACAGAAGUUAAAAAGUAUAAUACUUAGAGAAGGGCCGAUAUCCUUAGAACCUAAGGGGAAUACUAAAGGUGUAAACAACUAACUAUAAAUGAUUGACGCUGAGACACGAAGGUGAGGAUAGGAAAUAGGAUUAGAUACCCCGGUACCCCUCUCUGUAAACGAUGAAUGGUAGUUAUUAGUGUAUUACUGGUGACGAUGUUAACGCGUUAACCAUUCCGCCUUGGGAGUACGACUGCAAAGUUGAAAACAAAAAAAUUAGUCGGUCUCGGAGCAAACGGAGUGAAGCAUGUUAUUUAAUA
RNAcentral lists this ribosomal RNA (552 nucleotides) under Subantrodia uzbekistanica. Its description in RNAcentral is "SSU rRNA". It matches the Rfam family "Bacterial small subunit ribosomal RNA", at positions 389 to 951 of the family's 1533-position model. Lineage: Eukaryota; Fungi; Basidiomycota; Agaricomycetes; Polyporales; Fomitopsidaceae. The record is from RNAcentral.